UAGGGAAUAUUGCAAAAUGGGCGAAAGCCCGAUGCAGCAACGCCGCGUGGGCGAUGAAGGCCUUCGGGUCGUAAAGCCCUUCUUGAGGGGAUGAGGAAGGACAGUACCCUCAGAAUAAGCCUCGGCUAACUACGUGCCAGCAGCCGCGGUAAAACGUAGGAGGCGAGCGUUAUCCGGAUUUACUGGGCGUAAAGCGCGUGCAGGCGGAUUGGAGAGUUGGAUGUGAAAGCUCCCGGCUUAACUGGGAGAGGUCGUUCAAUACUUCCAGUCUUGAGUGCAGUAGAGGGAAGUGGAAUUCCGGGUGUAGUGGUGAAAUGCGUAGAUAUCCGGAGGAACACCAGUGGCGAAAGCGGCUUCCUGGACUGUAACUGACGCUCAGACGCGAAAGCUAGGGUAGCAAACG
RNAcentral lists this ribosomal RNA (403 nucleotides) under uncultured bacterium. Its description in RNAcentral is "bacterial SSU rRNA". It matches the Rfam family "Bacterial small subunit ribosomal RNA", at positions 355 to 774 of the family's 1533-position model. The record is from RNAcentral.